Molecule: ribosomal RNA, 253 nt
Filed under: uncultured bacterium
Lineage: Bacteria
Description: partial 16S ribosomal RNA
Rfam family: Bacterial small subunit ribosomal RNA
Source: RNAcentral
UACGUAGGGGGCAAGCGUUGUCCGGAAUCAUUGGGCGUAAAGCGCGUGUAGGCGGCUUCGUAAGUCCGUUGUGAAAGUCCAGGGCUCAACCCUGGAAUGCCGAUGGAUACUGCGGAGCUAGAGUCCGGAAGAGGCGAGUGGAAUUCCUGGUGUAGCGGUGAAAUGCGCAGAUAUCAGGAAGAACACCCGUGGCGAAGGCGGCUCUCUGGGACGGUACUGACGCUGAGACGCGAAAGCGUGGGGAGCGAACAGG